Cydia fagiglandana is the source of this 7189-nucleotide long non-coding RNA. RefSeq lists it as uncharacterized. Lineage: Eukaryota; Metazoa; Arthropoda; Insecta; Lepidoptera; Tortricidae. The record is from RefSeq and is a predicted model, not a curated record. The transcript has 2 exons.
CCGCGACCCGCCGCGCCGCCGCCCCUCCUCCUCGCACCGCGCCUUCCCCGCGCCGCCCCGCCAGCCCUACCGCCGCUAACGACGCACCUCGGCGCUCCUUCCUCCAUGCGACCGCGGCGGGACCCUACGAGGCCCCACACACCUGUCACCCGCUAACCGUAUCACUUCACACUUAACUCGGACGGUCCGUGACAACUAUGCUUCAAGACUAGGCUGACUUUGAUUAACCAUAGAGUUAUUAGUUGUUGCGUAAACUCUAAGAACAAUUCGUGUCUCCAAGUUUGACAGCCGAAAUAGAUGGCGCUGCAAUGUUUUGCUGUUAUUAAAAUGUCAAACUUUUGACAAACAUAAUGCGCUCAAUGUGCGAAUCCUUAGCACCAUCUUGGUGGGAGUACAUCGUUUAUUCUAGCUAAUAUAAUUAUUUUGUUGAGAUUUUCUACCUCUAAUUGACUGGCAAGGGUCCUAAAGGCGGCCAUUUCUCUAAUAUAAUAAUAGCACCAUCUACAUCUGCUGUCCAAUUCGAAGUACGAAUUAAUCUUAGACAGGUCUUCAAUCAAAGGAUCUUUGAUUACAUUAACUAAUGGGAGCACCAUUAGUUAAUAUAACCAAAUAACGUUAUAUUAUAACAUUGUGUGACAGGGACAACAUAAUAAAACACUAUCAGUAGUCAGUACUAUCAUGUCGUACAGCCUGUCACACGAUGUUAGGUAUAUAAUAGCCAGUGAGGCAGCACUAUAAGUAAAUUUUAAAUAAGGUUGUAAAACCACUGACAAAUAUCUAACGAGCCGUCUAAGUUAAAUCGGAAGGCAUUAAACUACCCAAACUGUAUAGACAGUACUCAAUUGUUCUCAAACAUUUGACCAUACUUCAAAUUUAAUUUGAGUACGGUAUGACACUAUGCAGUUUUCGGGCGAAAGUAGACGUUAUGGACGUUAUGUCAGUUGCGUACGGUUCAUAUUUGAGAGCCUCUAUGUACUUAGUGAUUAGUUAAUUCGCUGUAAAUUCAAGUCUAAUUAAUAUUACCAUGUAUAUUCCCACUUUAAACUCUUAUUAGCAAUAAUAGUUAUAAGUUAUGUGUGAAGAAAAUAUCUACCUUAUAAAAUACAAUGAUUUUCGAGAUAUAAUUUCCCCCUCUAAAUAUAAAGUGGAAAUACAUAUGGUGAUUUAAAAUGAACUUAUACCAUAGCCUUAUGACAAAACUGCCCUUGUAAUAUGUGGGUCGCUAAAAUCUUACGCAUCUGUAAAAACGAUAGAUAUAAAGACUUAACGCAAAAUAAAGGAGCACAAAGCUUCUAUAGGUGUUAUUAACUCAGACGGUUAGUGAGUUGAUAUGGUUUAAUAAGUGUUUAAAGUUGCGAGUUUUAUUUUUAUUAUGAUCAGUCAUUAAAAAUUAAUACUUAUACUAAGUUUUCUUCCAAAUUAGGCCAUAAAAAACGAACGCGCUAUAAACCACCAACCAUCUGAGUUAAGUGCUGUAGCAUUAUUUGUAUGCGCAUUUAUGUCAGUAUAAUAUUAAACCAGUGAACGCCAUAACCAUUAAUGCCCACUUGCACCAUUCUAUUAACCCGGGGUUAACCGGUUAAACCUGGUUACCAACAAUUUGACACUGGGUUGACGGUUAAACCGCUUAACCCCGGGUUAGUGGGAUGAUGCAAGUGGGCCUAAGGCGUCGUAAAAAAGUGCCAGUGGCAGGUACCAAGAACGCUUAUUAGUGCUGUGGCGUACGUUGUCAAAGUAACCUUCAACGUUUCCAGUACGGUUUAUAUUUGCUAGCUUACGCCAGAGAUGAUGUUGGCGUGUGCAUGACGUUCUUGGGUUAGUCAGAUGGCGUUCGACAGGAUAAAAAGUCUGUAAACGCAAUUCAAUUUCUCUCACAGUCAAAUUCAAUUGCACAUUUUAGUUUAUAGUAUUAGAAGUGACAGUGGGUGUAAGGUGACCGGGUGACCGGCCCGCGCGGGCAACAUUAACACGCUUCGCAUAUCGCUUCUCUUAUUAUUUUCUUUAAGUAGUUAGAUAGUAAAUUAAUAAUAAUUUCGGUCGGGCUCGCCCGCGUUAACUUUAAUCACCGGAUUUGUCGUAAAAUGCAUAUUUAUGCUCGAUUUGAUAGAGGCGCUUGCUCGGCUCGGCCCCUAAGGUCUCUCGAACUACAUUUCGAACGAAGUUCACUGCGGGACAGUUCUUCAAGGAUACCCACUACGCAGCUACAUAGUUAAUCUAGCUUGUGUGUGCUUAAUUGACGAAACCCCACCUCAUUUAUAUAUUGCAUAUUAGUCAAAAACCGUAAAUGUAUGAUGAAAAAAGUCAAAUAACGGCAUAGAUUCUAAAGAUAGAGUAAACAAGGCUUACAGGCGCCUUGCGUGCAUUACAUACUAUAAUGUGCGCAUGCCGUAUUGGACUGGUCUGGGCAUAUUAGGUUAACGUAGGCCAAUCUAAGGGACGCAGUUAUGCGAGAGAACAAGCGAUAUUGCUCUCAUUCCACCGUAUAGCUGCGUCCUUUAGAUUGGCCUACAUUAGCUCAAUAUGUAUUACUCGUCAUUACAAAGUUAAAUACACUUUCGAAUAUUCUACGUGAAUUUCAAGCUGUAUGAAUAAAAGUAGUAUCGUCGGCAUAGGGGCACGUCCGGGCCAGUGCAGCGUGUAUGUCACGGAGAAUGUCUGUAUUCCUUGUGCAUCUACUCGGCCGAAUCUAGAGCGGAGCGAGAGCUUCAAAUGUGCUAGACUGCCUAGAUCCGGUCCUGUGACGCUUUUACCAAUGUUCCACUUCCAUAAACGUGCUAAAUUAAAAUGAUUCUUAAAUUUUGUGGUGUUUUUAAUUUAGCACGGUCAUAAAGUCGCGCUUAAUCGUUACUAUGGGGUUAAAAAUGCUCAACGCAGACGGCGCUACGGUGUAACUGUUCCAAUAAAAUUUCGUGAAGCCGAACGCUACACAUUCUUUUGCUUUAAAAAAUACAACUCAGCCAUGCAGCAAACGAUGUCACGUUUAAUGCUAUCAAUCCGCGAGAUGCCGUAUAUCAUUUUUUUUCAUCUUUAGCAAAAAUGGAAAUCUAAUCUAAUUUAGAUUUUUGGAAUUCACUGUAGGUCUCCAUAGCGGGACAGAAAAACCAUUGACUACAAAUAUCAAUCUAUCACUGGAAGUUCUAUAAAGCGCCCUCUAUGGUGAGUAAUUGUUGAACCACAACAGUUUUUAACCCCAUUGCCACGGAUCCUUCGGCGGUAGUUGCAUAAUUCCCAUAAUUAAUGUUCAGUAAUCGGGAAAAGUAGCCUUUACUAACUCGUUCGCGUUGUCUAUAAUAUUGGGACUUAUAAAUAUCGUCUAUCCUAAUGUAAAUAGUUCUCCUAAUUUCGUUACUUAAAGUUUCUAAAUAUGUAUAACUUAUUUUAACCCUUACAUGCAUGAAGUAUCAAUACUCAUGCCAAAACAACCAAAGUGACAACCAAAUUCACUUUAAAUAAUUAAUAUCGUAUAAUAACAGUCUUAAUUUGAAGAGUAUUUGUUUGGCACUUGUCUUAUUUCAGUACAGAUGUAAUAACAGUAAUGAUGUAAAACAGGGCAUAAUUGUUUUCCAUCGUAUUAUCUCGGAAACGUUCGUAUAUUUCGUGCUACUUCAGUCAACCUCAGUACUUGUACAGGGACUGACUGAAAUAGCAAAACACGUUCGUCGAAAAACCGAUGGAAAAUAAUUAUAAUGCACUACAUCUGUAUAUUCUGUAUCGUUAUUGAUACUUCAUGCAUCUAAAGGCUCCGUCACACAGUAGCGUUAUGCGGGCGGCGCGUGAGCAAGGCGCGCCGCUUUUACAUAUAAAACGCUCACGCCCCGCCCGGAAAACGCGCCUGUGUGACGGAACCUUAAGAGUGAAAUCGGCUGAAAAUUGCAUUAGGACAGACAUAUAUGAAAUAAGUAGAUCACCCAUAAGAAGUAUAUUGACUGAUUGUUUCUACGAUUCACAAUUAUUUUCUAUGUGAUAUUCAAAGUAAUGAAGUUAUUUUUCGCGUCUAUUCACUUACGGUAUUAUUAACUUAGUUGAAUACAAGUUAUAUAACACGAACAUUUUGUCUUCUAGAUGUAGGUCUAGUUUAUUAUUGUAUGAUUUCUAACCGGUCCUACGUUCUGUGGCAAAACGCACAUAUAUAAAUUAUAUAGUCUCUUGUUUUAAGUAUUUAAAAGAAUGUAAACAAUCAAAAUUACAUGACUCGAACAUUUAGACAAUGAUCAAAUACCAUAGCCUCCAAAGUCCCAGCUAUACAAAUGCAAAACCCAAAAUUUGCCAAUGAAAUUUGAACCUAUAGUGGAGAGAAUAGGAUUAAUUUUUAUUUGUUGGAAAAUGUAACGAAACAAAAGAAAUGGAACUCUGUUCUAAUUGAAUAUGGUUAAAAUUUCAUGGAACUGUAGAAGUACUAUAGGACCUUGUAGGUAGGACCUUGGGCCUUAGGAGGAUAGAUAAAUAAGGUUGUUGACUAUGGUUUAUCAGUGACCGAAUGACCGAGUCAAAUAGAUUUUUGUUUACUUUUUUAAUUACCUAAAAAAAGAGAAUUCUAAUUAGGAAACUAUUAUUUUAAAAAGUGAAAACUUAUACCUGUGCAAUUCAACUCUGUUGAUGUAUUUGUAGGGCCAUUUUGUUUAUAUACUGUAUAUUGACGUGGUUCAACUGAUGUUAUGGUCGAAAUAAUACGAGAACGGGUUUUCAAAGUAACUUUCGACCGUAAGUCUAUUUAGACAAGUUUCAAAAUGCACUGACUGUGGAAAUAUUAAAGAUUUCGACCAUAGACAGAAAAUAAUUAUGAGGAUAUUCCAUAGAUAUAAAGAUCUUGAUGUGACAAUCAUAAAUCUAUGGAUGCUUUCGUUUAUUCGUGUAAUUUUACGAAAGCAAGUACAGUUAGUAGCACAUAUCUAUAAAAAAAAGUUAGUGUACAGUCGAGUACAACAUCUUUACAAGCCUACGUUCCAAAAAUAUAAAUUUACACAACCCUUUAUUCUUGUCAGUGUCUCAGAGGCGUGUAAAUAUAUUUUAAAGAUGUUAGUGAGUUCGACUGUAACAACACACUUAACUAACCAGAUUGUAUUUUAUUCCCUUUCAAUAAGGUUUAAAAUGGCCAGUUAAUUGUGUUGCCAAUAUAAACGUAUAGAAGUAACUGCUGUACUCGUCGCUAUACCGGUUACCGCAGGGUACCGUGUACGUAUGUAUUUAGAAUGAGCUCGCGUUUACGCGGCAUAUUACAGGGGUCUGCCGGCUGCGACAGAGACAACAUAUUUCAGCGGUCUCUUUCAUGCGACAGGGAACUGUGAUACUUAAUCAUGAUACAGCGGGUCUAUAUUUAAAUCACGUUGGUAAAGGCCUUCGGACUUCGAUGCAGAAUGUAAAAUUGGCACCAUAAGUAACUGAGUACAGUAGAGUUCAUAAUAUGUAUACAAGAUUACGUACUCGACUGUAACUCAACGAGUUGUUCAAAAUUACCUACACACGCUCUAAAUCUUUUAGCAAUAAAUUUGUGUUCAGAUAAUUUUGGCAUCACCCGCUUGACAUCGUCCGCUUGGCUAAUUCCGAUUUUAUUACGCAGUGAUUUGCACCGUUGAGACAGAAAAAUAUAAACGAAAUAAUUAUUGGUCUCUUUUGACAAAGUUAAUAGAAACUUUAGAUAUGCUUGUAAGUUAUUUUUAAUGUUUUUUUUACUAAACAAAUUGUGUAUGUAUUUCGCCCGCAGGCCCCUGGCUCUGAUCAUGAACUUAUGUGUUACUGUUUUGUAUAUUUUUCAUUUUGUACUGAAUUGUGUAAAUGUCAGAUUGUGACAUAGUUUCGGCUAGUGGUGGGGCCCGACAUAACCCUUCUGAUGCCCACGACCGAUAUAAAUAUUACAUGUAUGCAAUAAGUAGGUAAGGGUUAGUAUUAGAUGGACAGAAAAGCAACUGGAUAUAAUAGCGAAUCUUAAAGAUAUAAGGGAACUUAGAUUGUAUGACAAGUUGCCUUUAAGUGUUUGUUAAAAAGUCGGUAAUGCACAUGUGACAUGUUACACCCUAAAAGCCCUAAGGGCUUGUUAUAGUUGACUCGUACAUAAAUAAAAAUGACCAGUUGUAUUUCUGGCCACUUGGUACCUAUUUUGUAAAACUGCAAAUUAUUACUUUACAAUUCUAAGCUGGCAACACUACGGGUUACUAGGUCUACCUUUUUGCAAGACCCUUUCUGCCAUCUGACAGCUAAUAGAGACAAGUUAAAAGAUACGUUUCUCUGUCUCUCAGCAGAAAGUUUUCGGCGAAAAGGUAGAUGUAAUAAGCAUUUAUUCGAGGUAAGCGCGUGACCUUAUCAAUAAUUUAAGUGUUGCCAGUUUAGACUUGUAAAAUUGUAACUUACAUAUUUAUAAGCUUGUAAUUUUCGCUGUUUAUAUCGGUCGCAGCGUUUAAGAGUCAGUAUCAGAGAGUUUUUGCCUUCAUUUCUUUGGACAUAUUUAUGUGGAAGUGUUUUGACAUUAAGAUGAUAUUUUUAGUUGUCUGAUUGAGGUCCCUGAAUACUCCCAAACCACCAGAAAUAUCAUUGAAGAUAGAUCCCACACUAGCAUCAUUUGAGCGUCGGCGUUUAGUCAGCGGUAUGGGAAAUGGUGUCGCUGCGCAGUUGCGCCAACGUUGCGUCGCGCAGCAACCACAGUUGACUAUAGUUCGUUUUCUUUAGCAUUAGAAACAACUUGAAAGAAGGUAAGCGAUCUUGACAUAUCUUUUAAUUGAAAAACGCUUUAUAAAAAUCAGUAACUAUUACUUAUGUUAGCAGAAGAAUAUAAAUGAUCGUAUUAGAUUCAUAAUUGUUACAUAUUUGCCGUAACUUAUUUUUAAAACCUGUUUUUCAAUUAAAAGACACAUCCAGAUUGUUUACCUUAUUUCUAAUGCUAAAAAAAAAAGAACUAUAGACGCCGACGCUCUGGAGACGCUAGUGUGGAGUGUCUCUGAAAUGUAGACACACUUGUACAAUAAUUAGGCGAUUGUAACUCCGUGAUACUGACCCUUUAAGGGUUAAGGCCCCGUCGUGUUCCAAGCGACAGAUUCCAAAUCGUUAGCGUACCAUUCUGUUCUAUGUAUUCAUAGUAUAUUAUAUCGAUCGAAUUUGUUUUGGAUUGUUCUAAAUAUUGUACAAUAUAUAUUAUAGAGUCCUGGACCCCGUCUCAACCGUCGCUGGCGAAUAUAAUAAAAAUUCAUAAGUACAUUAA